GACGAACGCUGGCGGCGUGCCUAAUACAUGCAAGUCGAGCGAAGUUUUUCUGGUGCUUGCACUAGAAAAACUUAGCGGCGAACGGGUGAGUAACACGUAAAGAACCUGCCUCAUAGACUGGGACAACUAUUGGAAACGAUAGCUAAUACCGGAUAACAGUAUUUCUCGCAUGAGAGAUAUUUAAAAGUUGGUUAUGCUAACACUAUGAGAUGGCUUUGCGGUGCAUUAGCUAGUUGGUGGGGUAAAGGCCCACCAAGGCGACGAUGCAUAGCCGACCUGAGAGGGUGAUCGGCCACACUGGAACUAAGACACGGCCCAGACUCCUACGGGAGGCAGCAGUAGGGAAUCUUACGCAAUGGGCGAAAGCCUGACGGAGCAACGCCGCGUGAGUGAAGAAGGAUUUCGGUUCGUAAAGCUCUGUUGUUAGGGAAGAAUGGAUAUGUAGUAACUAUACAUGUAAGAGACGGUACCUAACCAGAAAGCCACGGCUAACUACGUG
This 499-nucleotide ribosomal RNA is filed under the name uncultured bacterium. RNAcentral's name for it is "partial 16S ribosomal RNA". It matches the Rfam family "Bacterial small subunit ribosomal RNA", at positions 28 to 507 of the family's 1533-position model. The record is from RNAcentral.